This 484-nucleotide ribosomal RNA is filed under the name uncultured bacterium. Its description in RNAcentral is "partial 16S ribosomal RNA". It matches the Rfam family "Bacterial small subunit ribosomal RNA", at positions 30 to 507 of the family's 1533-position model. The record is from RNAcentral.
AUUGAACGCUGGCGGCAGGCCUAACACAUGCAAGUCGAGCGGAUGAAGGGAGCUUGCUCCUGGAUUCAGCGGCGGACGGGCGAGUAAUGCCUAGGAAUCUGCCUGGCAGUGGGGGAUAACGUCCGGACACGGGCGCUAAUACCGCAUACGUCCUGAGGGAGAAAGUGGGGGAUCUUCGGACCUCACGCUAUCAGAUGAGCCUAGGUCGGAUUAGCUAGUUGGUGGGGUAAAGGCCUACCAAGGCGACGAUCCGUAACUGGUCUGAGAGGAUGAUCAGUCACACUGGAACUGAGACACGGUCCAGACUCCUACGGGAGGCAGCAGUGGGGAAUAUUGGACAAUGGGCGAAAGCCUGAUCCAGCCAUGCCGCGUGUGUGAAGAAGGUCUUCGGAUUGUAAAGCACUUUUAGUUGGGAGGAAGAGCAGUAAGUUAAUACCUUGCUGUUUUGACGUUACCAACAGAAUAAGCACCGGCUAACUUCGUG